CAUAAAGUGAAGAAGAGGAUAAGUAGUUUUAUGAAUUGGAAUUUUGCAGAGAGCCGGAGCUGCUGUGAACCGGUAAUUCCACCAUAAGAUGAACUCACCUCAGAGCAUCAGCUUGAAAGAGUCAAUCGAGUAGAGUUGGUCGGGUGUCUACCACCCGUUAUCAAAACGGACAGGAACAGAUGUCCAUAAGUGCAUGCGUAAUGCGUGAAUUUAGGGUGGUACCGUGGAAUGGGAUUAAAGCCUUUUCACCCCUUAU
This 256-nucleotide non-coding RNA is filed under the name Bacillus sp. (in: firmicutes). RNAcentral describes it as "Bacillus sp. T-box sequence". It matches the Rfam family "T-box leader". From Rfam's summary of the family: Uncharged tRNA acts as the effector for transcription antitermination of genes in the T-box leader family. T-boxes are found upstream of many aminoacyl-tRNA synthetase genes and some amino acid biosynthetic genes usually in Gram-positive bacteria. Lineage: Bacteria; Bacillati; Bacillota; Bacilli; Caryophanales; Bacillaceae. The record is from RNAcentral.